AUGCAAGUCGAACGGUAACAGGUUAAGCUGACGAGUGGCGAACGGGUGAGUAAUAUAUCGGAACGUGCCCAGUAGUGGGGGAUAGCCCGGCGAAAGCCGGAUUAAUACCGCAUACGACCUACGGGUGAAAGCGGGGGAUCGCAAGACCUCGCGCUAUUGGAGCGGCCGAUAUCAGAUUAGCUAGUUGGUGGGGUAAAAGCUCACCAAGGCGACGAUCUGUAGCUGGUCUGAGAGGACGACCAGCCACACUGGGACUGAGACACGGCCCAGACUCCUACGGGAGGCAGCAGUGGGGAAUUUUGGACAAUGGACGCAAGUCUGAUCCAGCCAUGCCGCGUGCGGGAAGAAGGCCUUCGGGUUGUAAACCGCUUUUGUCAGGGAAGAAAAGUCUGGAGCUAAUAUCUCCGGACGAUGACGGUACCUGAAGAAUAAGCACCGGCUAACUACGUGCCAGCAGCCGCGGUAAUACGUAGGGUGCAAGCGUUAAUCGGAAUUACUGGGCGUAAAGCGUGCGCAGGCGGUUCUAUUAGACAGAUGUGAAAU
This 543-nucleotide ribosomal RNA is filed under the name uncultured bacterium. RNAcentral's name for it is "bacterial SSU rRNA". It matches the Rfam family "Bacterial small subunit ribosomal RNA", at positions 55 to 600 of the family's 1533-position model. The record is from RNAcentral.